RNAcentral lists this ribosomal RNA (292 nucleotides) under uncultured Pseudonocardineae bacterium. RNAcentral's name for it is "partial 16S ribosomal RNA". It matches the Rfam family "Bacterial small subunit ribosomal RNA", at positions 505 to 796 of the family's 1533-position model. The record is from RNAcentral. Lineage: Bacteria; Bacillati; Actinomycetota; Actinomycetes; Pseudonocardiales.
GUGUCAGCAGCCGCGGUAAUACGUAGGGUGCAAGCGUUGUCCGGAAUUAUUGGGCGUAAAGAGCUCGUAGGCGGUUUGUCGCGUCGGCCGUGGAACCCUUGCGCUCAACGCGAGGCGUGCGGUCGAUACGGGCAGACUUGAGUUCGGCAGGGGAGACUGGAAUUCCUGGUGUAGCGGUGAAAUGCGCAGAUAUCAGGAGGAACACCGGUGGCGAAGGCGGGUCUCUGGGCCGAUACUGACGCUGAGGAGCGAAAGCGUGGGGAGCGAACAGGAUUAGAAACCCCAGUAGUCC